RNAcentral lists this ribosomal RNA (620 nucleotides) under uncultured bacterium. RNAcentral's name for it is "bacterial SSU rRNA". It matches the Rfam family "Bacterial small subunit ribosomal RNA", at positions 338 to 956 of the family's 1533-position model. The record is from RNAcentral.
CCUACGGGAGGCAGCAGUGGGGAAUUUUGGACAAUGGGCGCAAGCCUGAUCCAGCAAUGCCGCGUGAGUGAAGAAGGCCUUCGGGUUGUAAAGCUCUUUUGUCAGGGAAGAAACGGCAGUUUCUAAUACAGAUUGCUAAUGACGGUACCUGAAGAAUAAGCACCGGCUAACUACGUGCCAGCAGCCGCGGUAAUACGUAGGGUGCAAGCGUUAAUCGGAAUUACUGGGCGUAAAGCGUGCGCAGGCGGUUUUGUAAGUUUGUCGUGAAAUCCCCGGGCUCAACCUGGGAAUGGCGAUGAAGACUGCAAGGCUAGAAUCUGGCAGAGGGGGGUAGAAUUCCACGUGUAGCAGUGAAAUGCGUAGAGAUGUGGAGGAACACCGAUGGCGAAGGCAGCCCCCUGGGUCAAGAUUGACGCUCAUGCACGAAAGCGUGGGGAGCAAACAGGAUUAGAUACCCUGGUAGUCCACGCCCUAAACGAUGUCUACUAGUUGUCGGGUUUUAAAUUAACUUGGUAACGCAGCUAACGCGUGAAGUAGGCCGCCUGGGGAGUACGGUCGCAAGAUUAAAACUUCAAAGGAUUGAGGCGUUGAGACGAGCGACGACGACGACGAGGAGGAGG